RNAcentral lists this ribosomal RNA (18 nucleotides) under Rhipicephalus appendiculatus. RNAcentral describes it as "partial large subunit ribosomal RNA". The record is from RNAcentral. Lineage: Eukaryota; Metazoa; Arthropoda; Arachnida; Ixodida; Ixodidae.
GUCGACCCCAGAUCGAGC